RNAcentral lists this unclassified non-coding RNA (172 nucleotides) under uncultured Sebacina. RNAcentral's name for it is "sequence contains ITS1". The record is from RNAcentral. Lineage: Eukaryota; Fungi; Basidiomycota; Agaricomycetes; Sebacinales; Sebacinaceae.
UUGAUUGCGAAUCGUUGUCUUCAGUGCUGGCCAGCUCUUGGCAAGUGCACGUUGGCGGCCUUUCAUCCACACCCUGUGCACCUUUGGCCUCUUGCUAGCUUCGGUCGGCAGAGGAUUUUACACACCAACUCGAAUGUAAUGAAAACUACUGUCGUGCGCAAGCACUAAUGUA